Pantherophis guttatus is the source of this 216-nucleotide long non-coding RNA. RefSeq lists it as uncharacterized. Lineage: Eukaryota; Metazoa; Chordata; Lepidosauria; Squamata; Colubridae. The record is from RefSeq and is a predicted model, not a curated record.
UGAGAGUAAGGCGAGGAGAGGAAAGGUGGAUCAGGUUUCUCUGAGCAUCAAUCUGAAGGUGCUAGGGAGUGUUUCAGGAACAGCAGAGGGCCGGACGGCAUUUUGUCCGGACACAGCAUUUGCAAACAAAUCCAGUGGGUUGGGUGUGUUCCCACAAAAGAAUGAGCAAUGUCUGUAUGCAAACCACACACAAUAAAUUUACGAUACCGCUAAGUU